Molecule: non-coding RNA, 693 nt
Organism: Phascolarctos cinereus (koala)
Lineage: Eukaryota; Metazoa; Chordata; Mammalia; Diprotodontia; Phascolarctidae
Source: RefSeq, a predicted model, not a curated record
UGCAAAGAAAUGUACUCGUUGAUACUUUGAUUGGUAUUCGCAUGAGAAAAAUUCUCAGUGUUGCCUAUUGGUAAAGGUAUGUAAACCCUGUUGCUUUGUUCACUGUUACAUUGGGGUAUGUUCCCAUGAGUAAAAGAUAUAAAACACUGAAGGCAGGACCAGCGGUUGUUGCUUACUCGCUUGAGCUAAUGGCUGAAUAAACUUUGAAACUACACCUCUCUGUGGACUCCACUCCUUCGUUAAUCAGGGACCCGAAGACAGCAGGACGGGGAGGAAGAAUAACAAAUAUGAUUCAACAUGAAGAAAUUGAACUCACCGGAGGAAUUACCUAUAUUAGAGGCUGGAGCUUUGAACUUUUGUUUCUUAUUGUCAGCAAAAGCUCAAAGCUCUUUCAUCUCAUUAUUAAUUAAUCUUCAUAUCAUCCACAGACAGUAAGAGGUAGAAAAGGAAAAAAUCUAUUUCUGUUCAUUAAAAUACUUUACAAUGAGAAGUUGGGACGUGUUACAGAAGCAGAAUGUUGCAUGCAUUUUUGGAUGAUGUCACUGGAUUGUUAGUUUUACUCUCUUUUUUUGCUUUGUUAUGAGAAGUUUCAAAAUAGUGGAGAUAAUCUGAAAAUGUUUGAAUUAUUAAAAUUGCACAAAUAAAACUGAAAAAAAGUAAUCUACCUAGAACUGAAUACUAAUUGACUGUUAC